Molecule: ribosomal RNA, 1609 nt
Filed under: Salmonella enterica
Lineage: Bacteria; Pseudomonadati; Pseudomonadota; Gammaproteobacteria; Enterobacterales; Enterobacteriaceae
Description: partial 23S ribosomal RNA
Rfam family: Bacterial large subunit ribosomal RNA
Source: RNAcentral
ACACUGUGUGUUGUUGGGUAGGGGAGCGUUCUGUAAGCCUGUGAAGGUGUGUCGUGAGGCAUGCUGGAGGUAUCAGAAGUGCGAAUGCUGACAUAAGUAACGAUAAAGCGGGUGAAAAGCCCGCUCGCCGGAAGACCAAGGGUUCCUGUCCAACGUUAAUCGGGGCAGGGUGAGUCGACCCCUAAGGCGAGGCCGAAAGGCGUAGUCGAUGGGAAACGGGUUAAUAUUCCCGUACUUGGUGUUACUGCGAAGGGGGGACGGAGAAGGCUAUGUUGGCCGGGCGACGGUUGUCCCGGUUUAAGCGUGUAGGUGUGUGUUCCAGGUAAAUCCGGUUCACUUUAACACUGAGGCGUGACGACGAGGCACUACGGUGCUGAAGCAACAAAUGCCCUGCUUCCAGGAAAAGCCUCUAAGCAUCAGGUAACAUCAAAUCGUACCCCAAACCGACACAGGUGGUCAGGUAGAGAAUACCAAGGCGCUUGAGAGAACUCGGGUGAAGGAACUAGGCAAAAUGGUGCCGUAACUUCGGGAGAAGGCACGCUGACACGUAGGUGAAGUGAUUUACUCAUGGAGCUGAAGUCAGUCGAAGAUACCAGCUGGCUGCAACUGUUUAUUAAAAACACAGCACUGUGCAAACACGAAAGUGGACGUAUACGGUGUGACGCCUGCCCGGUGCCGGAAGGUUAAUUGAUGGGGUCAGCGCAAGCGAAGCUCCUGAUCGAAGCCCCGGUAAACGGCGGCCGUAACUAUAACGGUCCUAAGGUAGCGAAAUUCCUUGUCGGGUAAGUUCCGACCUGCACGAAUGGCGUAAUGAUGGCCAGGCUGUCUCCACCCGAGACUCAGUGAAAUUGAACUCGCUGUGAAGAUGCAGUGUACCCGCGGCAAGACGGAAAGACCCCGUGAACCUUUACUAUAGCUUGACACUGAACAUUGAGCCUUGAUGUGUAGGAUAGGUGGGAGGCUUUGAAGUGUGGACGCCAGUCUGCAUGGAGCCGACCUUGAAAUACCACCCUUUAAUGUUUGAUGUUCUAACGUGGACCCGUUACCCGGGUUGCGGACAGUGUCUGGUGGGUAGUUUGACUGGGGCGGUCUCCUCCUAAAGAGUAACGGAGGAGCACGAAGGUUGGCUAAUCCUGGUCGGACAUCAGGAGGUUAGUGCAAUGGCAUAAGCCAGCUUGACUGCGAGCGUGACGGCGCGAGCAGGUGCGAAAGCAGGUCAUAGUGAUCCGGUGGUUCUGAAUGGAAGGGCCAUCGCUCAACGGAUAAAAGGUACUCCGGGGAUAACAGGCUGAUACCGCCCAAGAGUUCAUAUCGACGGCGGUGUUUGGCACCUCGAUGUCGGCUCAUCACAUCCUGGGGCUGAAGUAGGUCCCAAGGGUAUGGCUGUUCGCCAUUUAAAGUGGUACGCGAGCUGGGUUUAGAACGUCGUGAGACAGUUCGGUCCCUAUCUGCCGUGGGCGCUGGAGAACUGAGGGGGGCUGCUCCUAGUACGAGAGGACCGGAGUGGACGCAUCACUGGUGUUCGGGUUGUCAUGCCAAUGGCACUGCCCGGUAGCUAAAUGCGGAAGAGAUAAGUGCUGAAAGCAUCUAAGCACGAAACUUGCCCCGA